UACGUAGGAGGCAAGCGUUAUCCGGAAUGACUGGGCGUAAAGGGUGCGUAGGUGGUUUGGCAAGUUGGUAGCGUAAUCCCGGGGCUCAACCUCGGUGCUACUACCAAAACUGUUGAACUUGAGUGCAGGAGGGGUGAAUGGAAUUCCCAGUGUAGCGGUGGAAUGCGUAGAUAUUGGGAAGAACACCAGCGGCGAAGGCGAUUCACUGGACUGUAACUGACACUGAGGCACGAAAGCGUGGGGAGCAAACAGG
RNAcentral lists this ribosomal RNA (253 nucleotides) under uncultured bacterium. RNAcentral describes it as "partial 16S ribosomal RNA". It matches the Rfam family "Bacterial small subunit ribosomal RNA", at positions 524 to 776 of the family's 1533-position model. The record is from RNAcentral.